GAUGAACGCUGGCGGCGUGCCUAAUACAUGCAAGUCGAGCGAACGGACGAGAAGCUUGCUUCUCUGAUGUUAGCGGCGGACGGGAGAGUAACACGUGGAUAACCUACCUAUAAGACUGGGAUAACUUCGGGAAACCGGAGCUAAUACCGGAUGAUAUUUUGAACCGCAUGGUUCAAAAGUGAAAGACGGUCUUGCUGUCACUUAUAGCUGGAUCCGCGCUGCAUUAGCUAGUUGGUAAGGUAACGGCUUACGAAGGCAACGAUGCAUAGCCGACCUGAGAGGGUGAUCGGCCACACUGGAACUGAGACACGGUCCAGACUCCUACGGGAGGCAGCAGUAGGGAAUCUUCCGCAAUGGGCGAAAGCCUGACGGAGCAACGCCGCGUGAGUGAUGAAGGUCUUCGGAUCGUAAAACUCUGUUAUUAGGGAAGAACAUAUGUGUAAGUAACUGUGCACAUCGUGACGGUACCUAAUCAGAAAGCCACGGCUAACUACGUG
Molecule: ribosomal RNA, 497 nt
Filed under: uncultured bacterium
Lineage: Bacteria
Description: partial 16S ribosomal RNA
Rfam family: Bacterial small subunit ribosomal RNA
Source: RNAcentral